GGAUGUGAGGGUGAUCUGGCUGCGACAUCUGCCACCCCAUUGAUCGCCAGGGUUGAUUUGGCUGAUCUGGCUGGCUAGGCGGGUGUCCCCUUCCCCCCUCACCGCUCCAUGUGCGUUCCUCCCGAAGCUGCGCACUCAGUGGAAGACUACGACCAUCCCAGAUAGAAGGAGUGUACCGUUCUUUGGUCAAUGGUGUAUGAUAGCUGCACUCCCCUGCUACAACCUCCAAACAAGCUCCAUAGCUCACUAUUUUGAUUUCAAAUCUGCCAGCAGUCAGCCAUCUGAGCUUGCAAUUAUUAGGAGGAAGUGGUGAUGAAGAUAUC
Podarcis lilfordi (Lilford's wall lizard) is the source of this 323-nucleotide non-coding RNA. Lineage: Eukaryota; Metazoa; Chordata; Lepidosauria; Squamata; Lacertidae. The record is from the annotation of a GenBank genome assembly.